UACGUAGGGUGCAAGCGUUAAUCGGAAUUACUGGGCGUAAAGCGUGCGCAGGCGGCUUUGCAAGACAGAUGUGAAAUCCCCGGGCUUAACCUGGGAACUGCAUUUGUGACUGCAUGGCUAGAGUGCGGCAGAGGGGGAUGGAAUUCCGCGUGUAGCAGUGAAAUGCGUAGAGAUGUGGAGGAAUACCGAUGGCGAAGGCAGCCCCCUGGGCUAACACUGACGCUCAGGCACGAAAGCGUGGGGAGCAAACAGG
Molecule: ribosomal RNA, 253 nt
Filed under: uncultured bacterium
Lineage: Bacteria
Description: partial 16S ribosomal RNA
Rfam family: Bacterial small subunit ribosomal RNA
Source: RNAcentral